This 582-nucleotide ribosomal RNA is filed under the name uncultured bacterium. RNAcentral describes it as "partial 16S ribosomal RNA". It matches the Rfam family "Bacterial small subunit ribosomal RNA", at positions 355 to 928 of the family's 1533-position model. The record is from RNAcentral.
UGGGGAAUAUUGGACAAUGGGCGCAAGCCUGAUCCAGCCAUACCGCGUGGGUGAAGAAGGCCUUCGGGUUGUAAAGCCCUUUUGUUGGGAAAGAAAUCCAGCUGGCUAAUACCCGGUUGGGAUGACGGUACCCAAAGAAUAAGCACCGGCUAACUUCGUGCCAGCAGCCGCGGUAAUACGAAGGGUGCAAGCGUUACUCGGAAUUACUGGGCGUAAAGCGUGCGUAGGUGGUCGUUUAAGUCCGUUGUGAAAGCCCUGGGCUCAACCUGGGAACUGCAGUGGAUACUGGGCGACUAGAGUGUGGUAGAGGGUAGCGGAAUUCCUGGUGUAGCAGUGAAAUGCGUAGAGAUCAGGAGGAACAUCCAUGGCGAAGGCAGCUACCUGGACCAACACUGACACUGAGGCACGAAAGCGUGGGGAGCAAACAGGAUUAGAUACCCUGGUAGUCCACGCCCUAAACGAUGCGAACUGGAUGUUGGGUGCAAUUUGGCACGCAGUAUCGAAGCUAACGCGUUAAGUUCGCCGCCUGGGGAGUACGGUCGCAAGACUGAAACUCAAAUGAAUUGACGGGGGUCAUAGCUG